AUUCAACCCUCUCGAAGUUAGCCGAGUUAGCCGACAUGCUGCGGACUCGGUUCUUGGCUACUUCCGGACUGAGUAUACCAUUCUCUUUCGGUUGGUUUGGUCCAAGUCCGCGAAUUCCGUUUGACAUAAACGCGAACCGAUCGAAAGGGUAAGAGAAGCAAAUCGAGAGAAAGACAGAGAGACAGAGAGAAAGAGAGAAGAGAGCGAGAAGCUUGGCGACAGACAGCGAGAAGUUGGUAACUUAACUGGCCUAAAUGGGUUUAACUCGAUGUGAUUUUGCUGGUGAACCACUAAAUUGAACGAAUACGAACUAAACCGAACUCAACUAAGCUAAUCAUAUCACAUUACUAGCGUUAUUAGCCGAGCGACGAUAUAAGUGAAGGUCCGGUGAUGGCUCGCUGCAGUACCGGGUCGCCUCCUGCACUGACCCUCCGCGCGUCUCUCCUUCCAUUUUUGGGGAAUAUUUGAUUUCUUUUUUCUUUCUUUUUUUUCUUUCUUUUUCUCUUUUUUUUUUUCCCCGAUCCACCUACGACAACUAUCGGAAAAUCAUUCUCUAUAUCGAUCAAAAAAAAAAUACUGACUAACAUUUGGAUCAUCUCGACAGAUACAAAGAAACAGAAAGGGAGAGAGAGAGAGAGAGAGAGGGAGAGAGAGAGAGGGACAUACGUACAGUCAGAUCUUCCUUCAAAGAUCUUCAUACUUGUGAGCAACUUCGUGCGUUUCGCGCCAACUCGAAAUCAGCCGAACAUGGCCGAAGGUAUCUACGUUACAAGGAACGGAUAUAUAUGUAUGUCGGAUACACACGAGUGAUUUAUUCAUAUAUAUUGUACAUAUAUUCUACGUAUUAUAUGCGGUUCUAUAUGAUAAAAAGGAAAUAUGGUUGUUGUGAAAAAAGAUGGUAAACAUUUAUAAAUUUCGAUUGAGAAAUGCACGAUUAGGGUAUGUCGACCGGGCUAUAGUAUAACUAUGUACCCGCAGUGCGCACACUGUUAGGAUCGACCAAUUGAGCCUGUUAACGUCAAUUGAUCUAAAUUGCUUCAAUUGGACAUAAUUGCGCGAAGGCGACGGGGAACCUCCGCUGUUACUACUCACCAACCAUAUCCACGUUUAUCUCUGCACGCAAAUAUCUUUUCGUCUCGAAUUUUAACGUAUCUAUCUCUUUCUUUCUUUCUCUUUCUCUCGUACAGACAGGACAUUCUAUACUCACAGUUUUUUUCCUAUUUCUCUAUGACUUUUUUUCUUAUUUCUUUUUUUUUAUUUCAUGCUUC
This is a long non-coding RNA of Vespula pensylvanica (western yellowjacket), 1268 nucleotides long. RefSeq lists it as uncharacterized. NCBI's taxonomy places the organism in Eukaryota, Metazoa, Arthropoda, Insecta, Hymenoptera, Vespidae. The transcript has 3 exons. The record is from RefSeq and is a predicted model, not a curated record.